AGUGAACGCUGGCGGUAGGCCUAACACAUGCAAGUCGAACGGCAGCACAGUAAGAGCUUGCUCUUACGGGUGGCGAGUGGCGGACGGGUGAGGAAUACAUCGGAAUCUACUUUUUCGUGGGGGAUAACGUAGGGAAACUUACGCUAAUACCGCAUACGACCUACGGGUGAAAGCAGCGGAUCUUCGGACCUCGCGCGAUUGAAUGAGCCGAUGUCGGAUUAGCGAGUUGGCGGGGUAAAGGCCCACCAAGGCGACGACCCGUAGCUGGUCUGAGAGGAUGAUUGGCCACACUGGAAGUGAGAGACGGUCCAGACUCCUAAGGGAGGCAGCAGUGGGGAAUAUUAGACAAUGGGCGCAAGCCUGAUCCAGCAAUACCGCGUGGGUGAAGAAGGCCUUCGGGUUGGAAAGCCCUUUUGUUGGGAAAGAAAAGCAGCACGUUAAUACCCCGCUGUUCUGACGGUACCCAAAGAAUAAGCACCGGCUAACUUCGUG
This 492-nucleotide ribosomal RNA is filed under the name uncultured bacterium. Its description in RNAcentral is "partial 16S ribosomal RNA". It matches the Rfam family "Bacterial small subunit ribosomal RNA", at positions 29 to 507 of the family's 1533-position model. The record is from RNAcentral.